RNAcentral lists this ribosomal RNA (258 nucleotides) under uncultured prokaryote. RNAcentral describes it as "partial 16S ribosomal RNA". It matches the Rfam family "Bacterial small subunit ribosomal RNA", at positions 524 to 780 of the family's 1533-position model. The record is from RNAcentral.
UACGUAGGGUGCGAGCGUUGUCCGGAAUUAUUGGGCGUAAAGAGCUUGUAGGCGGUUUGUCGCGUCUGCUGUGAAAAUCCGGGGCUCAACCUCGGGCGUGCAGGCGAUACGGGCAAUACUUGAGUGCUGUAGGGGAGACUGGAAUUCCUGGUGUAGCGGUGAAAUGCGCAGAUAUCAGGAGGAACACCAAUGGCGAAGGCAGGUCUCUGGGCAGUUACUGACGCUGAGGAGCGAAAGCAUGGGUAGCGAACAGGAUUA